RNAcentral lists this ribosomal RNA (344 nucleotides) under uncultured bacterium. Its description in RNAcentral is "bacterial SSU rRNA". It matches the Rfam family "Bacterial small subunit ribosomal RNA", at positions 8 to 334 of the family's 1533-position model. The record is from RNAcentral.
AGGGUUUGAUUCUGGCUCAGGAUGAACGCUGGCGGCGUGCUUAACACAUGCAAGUCGAACGAAGCGCUUAAAUGGAUUUCUUCGGAUUGAAGUUUUUGUGACUGAGUGGCGGACGGGUGAGUAACGCGUGGGUAACCUGCCUCAUACAGGGGGAUAACAGUUAGAAAUGACUGCUAAUACCGCAUAAGCGCACAGUGCUGCAUGGCACAGUGUGAAAAACUCCGGUGGUAUGAGAUGGACCCGCGUCUGAUUAGCUAGUUGGUGGGGUAACGGCCUACCAAGGCGACGAUCAGUAGCCGGCCUGAGAGGGUGAACGGCCACAUUGGGACUGAGACACGGCCCAA